Molecule: long non-coding RNA, 816 nt
Filed under: Mytilus galloprovincialis (Mediterranean mussel)
Lineage: Eukaryota; Metazoa; Mollusca; Bivalvia; Mytilida; Mytilidae
Source: RNAcentral
GGAAAAUUCUUAUGGCACAAAUGAAUCUCUUGUUUAUUUGAUAUUGGAGCAAGGCUUAAUUUAUGCUCCCCAAAAGAAAAGUGGAUACUGACCUGAAGGUUAUGGGGUAUCGGCUAAUAUGCAAUGAAGAGUGACAGAAUUUGGAUAAAAACGUUGUCGCAAAUUGCAUUUAUAUGUAUUUUUUACCAAGAAAUAGUCUGCUUUCUUAAUUCACCAACACUGCAGUACGACAGAUCUGGGUUCAGCACUUGUUUCAGUAGUCCUCAUCAUUGCCAUUGGUAUCAUGAGUAACGCUAUGGCUAAACGGAAAAAGAGGGAGUCUUAAACGUGAUCCUGUGCCUUAUCCAGAACCAUCCACAAAUGAAUUUUCUGAAAAAAAAUAAAAAAAAUAGAUGAAUAUUGUAUGUGACACCAAGAUAAAUUAAUGUUUUCUUUUUAUAGUACGAGCACCUGUCUUUAUUUUCCCUACCACUUAUAAUUAAUCUGAAAAAAGAUCUCAAAUAAAAAAAAACAAGAAUGUGUCCACAGUACACGGAUGCCCCACUCGCACUAUCAUUUUCUAUGUUUAGUGGACCGUGAAAUUGGAAUAAAUUCUCUAAUUUGGCAUUAAAAUUAGAAUGAUGUUAUAAAAGGGAACAUGUAUACUAAGUUUCAAGUUGAUUGGACUUCUACUUUAUCAAAAACUACCUUGACCAAAAACUUUAACCUGAAAUUUGCACUAUCAUUUUCUAUGUUCAGUGAACCCAAUGCUCUCCAAGUAAGGCGUCAAAUUAAGUUCGAAGAAAGAUUUGAUAACAUUCAUCUCGUAAUGUCCUA